Molecule: ribosomal RNA, 103 nt
Filed under: Pteropus alecto (black flying fox)
Lineage: Eukaryota; Metazoa; Chordata; Mammalia; Chiroptera; Pteropodidae
Source: RNAcentral
GUCUACGGCCAUGCCACCCUGAACGUGCCCGAUGUCGUCUGAUCUCUGAAGCUAAGCAGGGUCGGGCCUGGUUAGUACUUGGAAUAUUAUUUAGCCAUAGAAA